GGAUCAUUAAAGAGUUCUAUAACUCCCAAACCCAUGUGAACAUACUUAACGUUGCCUCGGCAGGUCGCGACUACCUCGUAGCACCCUACCCUGUAGGGCCUACCCGGGAGACGCGGGUCAGCCUGCCGGCGGCCUACCAAACUCUGUUUGAUAUUGAAUUCUGAACCUAUAACUAAAUAAGUUAAAACUUUCAACAACGGAUCUCUUGGUUCUGGCAUCGAUGAAGAACGCAGCGAAAUGCGAUAAGUAAUGUGAAUUGCAGAAUUCAGUGAAUCAUCGAAUCUUUGAACGCAUAUUGCGCCCAUUAGUAUUCUAGUGGGCAGGACCGUUCGAGCGUCAUUUCGACCCUUAAGCCUUGGUUGCUUAGUGUUGGGAGCCUACGGCAACGUAGCUCCUCAAAGUUAGUGGCGGAGUUGGUUCACACUCUAGACGUAGUAGAUUUUUAUCUCGCCUAUCAGUUGGACCGGUCCCCUGCCGUAAAACCCCCCAACUUCUUAAAGUUGACCUCGAAUCGGUUCAGACAAACUCGCUAAAUUGAAGCAUCUUAGUCAGCGAAGGAAAAGAAACCAACAGGGAUUGCCCUAGUAACGGCGAGUGAAGCGGCAACAGCUCAAAUUUGAAAUCUGGCCCUCGGGUCCGAGUUGUAAUUUGUAGAGGAUGCUUUUGGCGCGGUGCCUUCCGAGUUCCCUGGAACGGGACGCCUUAGAGGGUGAGAGCCCCGUACGGUUGGACACCAAGCCUCUGUAAAGCUCCUUCGACGAGUCGAGUAGCUUGGGAAUGCUGCUCUAAAUGGGAGGUAAAUUUCUUCUAAAGCUAAAUAUUGGCCAGAGACCGAUAGCGCACAAGUAGAGUGAUCGAAAGAUGAAAAGCACUUUGAAAAGAGGGUUAAACAGCACGUGAAAUUGUUGAAAGGGAAGCGUUUGCGACCAGACCCUUUUCCUAGCGGAUCAUCCGGUGUUCUCACCGGUGCACUUCGCUAGGUUUAGGCCAGCAUCGGUUUCUGUAGGGGGAUAAAAGCUCUGGGAACGUAGCUCCUCCGGGAGUGUUAUAGCCCUCUGCAUAAUACCCUUACGGGGACCGAGGACCGCGCU
Molecule: ribosomal RNA, 1091 nt
Filed under: Xylaria sp. ARIZ FL1729
Lineage: Eukaryota; Fungi; Ascomycota; Sordariomycetes; Xylariales; Xylariaceae
Description: eukaryotic LSU rRNA
Rfam family: Eukaryotic large subunit ribosomal RNA (bases 502-1091)
Source: RNAcentral